ACAAGCGGUGGAUGAUGUGGUUAAUUCGAUGCAACGCGAAAACCUUACCCACCUUUGACAUGGCAGGAAUCCUGAAGAGAUUGGGAGUGCUCGAAAGAGAACCUGCACACAGGUGCUGCAUGGCUGUCGUCAGCUCGUGUCGUGAGAUGUUGGGUUAAGUCCCGCAACGAGCGCAACCCUUGCCAUUAGUUGCUACGAAAGGGCACUCUAAUGGGACUGCCGGUGACAAACCGGAGGAAGGUGGGGAUGACGUCAAGUCCUCAUGGCCCUUAUAGGUGGGGCUACACACGUCAUACAAUGGCCGGUACAGAGGGUAGCCAACCCGCGAGGGGGAGCCAAUCCCACAAAGCCGGUCGUAGUCCGGAUCGCAGUCUGCAACUCGACUGCGUGAAAUCGGAAUCGCUAGUAAUCGCGGAUCAGCAUGUCGCGGUGAAUACGUUCCCGGGUCUU
RNAcentral lists this ribosomal RNA (450 nucleotides) under uncultured Allobrachymonas sp. Its description in RNAcentral is "bacterial SSU rRNA". It matches the Rfam family "Bacterial small subunit ribosomal RNA", at positions 925 to 1382 of the family's 1533-position model. The record is from RNAcentral. Lineage: Bacteria; Pseudomonadati; Pseudomonadota; Betaproteobacteria; Burkholderiales; Comamonadaceae.